This 520-nucleotide ribosomal RNA is filed under the name uncultured Glomus. RNAcentral describes it as "SSU rRNA". It matches the Rfam family "Eukaryotic small subunit ribosomal RNA", at positions 569 to 1092 of the family's 1831-position model. Lineage: Eukaryota; Fungi; Glomeromycota; Glomeromycetes; Glomerales; Glomeraceae. The record is from RNAcentral.
AGCAGCCGCGGUAAUUCCAGCUCCAAUAGCGUAUAUUAAAGUUGCUGCAGUUAAAAAGCUCGUAGUUGAAUUUCGGGACCAUCAUGUCGGUCGUGCCUCGGUACGUACUGGCAUUGUUGGUUUCUACCUUCUGACGAACCAUGAUGUCAUUUAUUUGGUGUCGUGGGGAAUCAGGACUGUUACUUUGAAAAAUUAGGGUGUUUAAAGCAGGCUCACGCUUGAAUACAUUAGCAUGGAAUAAUGAAAUAGGACGUUUGAUUCUAUUUUGUUGGUUUCUAGGAUCGACGUAAUGAUUAAUAGGGAUAGUUGGGGGCAUUAGUAUUCAAUUGUCAGAGGUGAAAUUCUUGGAUUUAUUGAAGACUAACUACUGCGAAAGCAUUUGCCAAGGAUGUUUUCAUUAAUCAAGAACGAAAGUUAGGGGAUCGAAGACGAUCAGAUACCGUCGUAGUCUUAACCAUAAACUAUGCCGACUAGGGAUCGGAUGAUGUUAAUUUUUUAAUGACUCAUUCGGCGCCUUAAC